UAUUAAAAAUUUCAUCAUUGUUACUGUUAAAAAACUGGCAUUGCUAACUGAAUAACUAAAUAGUUAUACAUGACGUCCAUGUUUGCCUCAUUCUGACUUUUAUGGACCAAAUUUUAAUAGUAAAAAUAGAUAAAAUUUUUAAUA
Molecule: non-coding RNA, 144 nt
Organism: Gossypium raimondii (Peruvian cotton)
Lineage: Eukaryota; Viridiplantae; Streptophyta; Magnoliopsida; Malvales; Malvaceae
Source: Rfam